GAUGAACGCUGGCGGCGUGCCUAAUACAUGCAAGUCGAGCGAACAGACGAGGAGCUAGCUCCUCUGACGUUAGCGGCGGACGGGUGAGUAACACGUGGAUAACCUACCUAUAAGACUGGGAUAACUUCGGGAAACCGGAGCUAAUACCGGAUAAUAUAUUGAACCGCAUGGUUCAAUAGUGAAAGACGGUUUUGCUGUCACUUAUAGAUGGAUCCGCGCCGCAUUAGCUAGUUGGUAAGGUAACGGCUUACCAAGGCAACGAUGCGUAGCCGACCUGAGAGGGUGAUCGGCCACACUGGAACUGAGACACGGUCCAGACUCUUACGGGAGGCAGCAGUAGGGAAUCUUCCGCAAUGGGCGAAAGCCUGACGGAGCAACGCCGCGUGAGUGAUGAAGGUCUUCGGAUCGUAAAACUCUGUUAUUAGGGAAGAACAAAUGUGUAAGUAACUAUGCACGUCUUGACGGUACCUAAUCAGAAAGCCACGGCUAACUACGUG
This 497-nucleotide ribosomal RNA is filed under the name uncultured bacterium. RNAcentral's name for it is "partial 16S ribosomal RNA". It matches the Rfam family "Bacterial small subunit ribosomal RNA", at positions 28 to 507 of the family's 1533-position model. The record is from RNAcentral.